RNAcentral lists this ribosomal RNA (468 nucleotides) under uncultured bacterium. RNAcentral's name for it is "partial 16S ribosomal RNA". It matches the Rfam family "Bacterial small subunit ribosomal RNA", at positions 28 to 507 of the family's 1533-position model. The record is from RNAcentral.
GACGAACGCUGGCGGCGUGCUUAACACAUGCAAGUCGAACGGAAAGGCCCUGCUUUUGUGGGGUGCUCGAGUGGCGAACGGGUGAGUAACACGUGAGUAACCUGCCCUUGACUUUGGGAUAACUUCAGGAAACUGGGGCUAAUACCGGAUAGGACCUCCUGCUGCAUGGUGGGGGUUGGAAAUUUUCGGCGGUUGGGGAUGGACUCGCGGCUUAUCAGCUUGUUGGUGGGGUAGUGGCUUACCAAGGCUUUGACGGGUAGCCGGCCUGAGAGGGUGACCGGCCACAUUGGGACUGAGAUACGGCCCAGACUCCUACGGGAGGCAGCAGUGGGGAAUAUUGCACAAUGGGCGGAAGCCUGAUGCAGCAACGCCGCGUGCGGGAUGACGGCCUUCGGGUUGUAAACCGCUUUCGCCUGUGACGAAGCGUGAGUGACGGUAAUGGGUAAAGAAGCACCGGCUAACUACGUG